RNAcentral lists this ribosomal RNA (253 nucleotides) under uncultured bacterium. RNAcentral describes it as "partial 16S ribosomal RNA". It matches the Rfam family "Bacterial small subunit ribosomal RNA", at positions 524 to 776 of the family's 1533-position model. The record is from RNAcentral.
UACGAAGGGGGCUAGCGUUGCUCGGAAUUACUGGGCGUAAAGCGCGCGUAGGCGGCUUUCUAAGUCGGGGGUGAAAUCCUGGAGCUCAACUCCAGAACUGCCUUCGAUACUGGAGAGCUCGAGUCCGGGAGAGGUGAGUGGAACUGCGAGUGUAGAGGUGAAAUUCGUAGAUAUUCGCAAGAACACCAGUGGCGAAGGCGGCUCACUGGCCCGAUACUGACGCUGAGGCACGAAAGCGUGGGGAGCAAACAGG